This 345-nucleotide unclassified non-coding RNA is filed under the name soil metagenome. RNAcentral's name for it is "partial contains 5.8S ribosomal RNA, internal transcribed spacer 2, and large subunit ribosomal RNA". The stretch from base 1 to 120 matches the Rfam family "5.8S ribosomal RNA", at positions 35 to 154 of the family's 154-position model. The record is from RNAcentral.
GAUGAAGAACGUAGCGAAAUGCGAUAAGUAGUGUGAAUUGCAGAAUUCAGUGAAUCAUCGAAUCUUUGAACGUACAUUGCGCCCUUUGGUAUUCCUUAGGGCAUGCCUGUUCGAGCGUCAUUUCAACCCUCAAGCCCUGCUUGGUGUUGGGCGUUUGUCCUGCCUCCGCGCGGGACUCGCCUCAAAGACAUUGGCGGCCGGUUUCCCUUUGCAGGCCACGAGCGCAGCACAGCGAGCGCUCUACGUGGACGCGGGGUCGGCGCACCAGAAGCCCUCUUUCUCGAAUUUUGACCUCGGAUCAGGUAGGGAUACCCGCUGAACUUAAGCAUAUCAAUAAGCGGAGGA